RNAcentral lists this small RNA (563 nucleotides) under Sarocladium glaucum. RNAcentral describes it as "eukaryotic LSU rRNA". It matches the Rfam family "Eukaryotic large subunit ribosomal RNA", at positions 62 to 647 of the family's 3401-position model. Lineage: Eukaryota; Fungi; Ascomycota; Sordariomycetes; Hypocreales; Sarocladiaceae. The record is from RNAcentral.
AAACCAACAGGGAUUGCCUCAGUAACGGCGAGUGAAGCGGCAACAGCUCAAAUUUGAAAUCUGGCCGCAAGGUCCGAGUUGUAAUUUGUAGAGGAUGCUUUUGGCGAGGUGACUUCCGAGUUCCCUGGAACGGGACGCCAUAGAGGGUGAGAGCCCCGUACGGUCGUGCCACCGAGCCUCUGUAAAGCUCCUUCGACGAGUCGAGUAGUUUGGGAAUGCUGCUCUAAAUGGGAGGUGUACGUCUUCUAAAGCUAAAUACCGGCCAGAGACCGAUAGCGCACAAGUAGAGUGAUCGAAAGAUGAAAAGCACUUUGAAAAGAGGGUUAAAAAGUACGUGAAAUUGUUGAAAGGGAAGCAUUCAUGACCAGACUUGGGCUUGGUUGAACAUCCGGCGUUCUCGCCGGUGCACUCUGCCAGCUCAGGCCAGCAUCAGUUUGCCCCGGGGGACAAAGGCGGUGGGAAUGUAGCUCCCUUCGGGGAGUGUUAUAGCCCGCCGUGUAAUGCCCUGGGGUGGACUGAGGUUCGCGCUUCGGCACGGAUGCUGGCGUAAUGGUCAUCAAUGA